RNAcentral lists this long non-coding RNA (3107 nucleotides) under Sus scrofa (pig). Its description in RNAcentral is "lncRNA (ENSSSCG00000061726.1)". The record is from RNAcentral. Lineage: Eukaryota; Metazoa; Chordata; Mammalia; Artiodactyla; Suidae.
UAGCUGUAUACAUGAUUAUUGAAGCUGUCCAAUUAAGCAAGAAAGAAAAACUCAGGUUUCUUAUUGUACAUUUAGAAGAGCAGUGAUGUCUCUGAAUUGUAAAGAGGUAUUUUGUGUACAAGUGGUAGAACUGCAACUCAGAUAAGCUUAAACAACAAAGGGAAACUGUUGACUCAGAUAAUACAUGGAGAAGAGAAUGGAUAGAGCCUCAAGCGUCAGAGCUCAAAUGCUGUGGUCUAUGCCCUCCUACGCUUGAUUUAUCAGGCCCACUUCCCUGUGCACAACAGCUCCAUUCUGUCCUUACAGAUGCUCUUCCAUGGUGUCCCCCCACCAUGACCAGGCUUAUCCCUUCUUAGCUUAGCAACCCUAGUGAAAAAAAGAGAGCUUUUCUCCAACAUCUGCAUAUCAACUCUAUGCUCACUACUUGGACCAAUCAUAGUUAACAGGGUGAUGACAUAUUAGAAAUGGCCAAGUCUGAUUGAUUUCGGAAAGAUGGCAGCGGGUGAUGGCUUGAAGCAAGAUCUUAAUUCUCUGCUCAGGAAUUGAACCUGGGCAGCCUGGAUGAAAACCAGGAAUCCUAGCCACUAGACUGGCUAGAGGCUAAAAGCAGAACUGCCCUGAUUCUUGCCCCCUGUUGAAAGCAAGAAUGUUUCAAGGAGGCAAAGACUGUGAAAAGAGGUACAAAGUUUAUUGUUAGAAACACAGUACGACAUGUGGGAAAGCACACAGAGACUAGUCUAUUUAUCUAAGGCAGAAGCAGAGCACUAAUACACACCCAAAGAAGUGUGGGUUUGGGCGUCCCCCUGAAUGAGGAGCACACCAGAGAGCUAACUUAAACCACAUAUAUAGGACAGUCCUUCUGGCUCUUUGUCUUCCUUUGGCCCAUUAUCUUGUUUUAUCUUGUACACCUGACCAGACCCAGGGCCCUCCCCUGAUCUACAUGCUCAUAUUUUGGCCAGGAUGGAUUCCAAAGCAAAGCAUGGGGGAAAGGUUAUCUAGACUUACUAUGGCCUGGCACCCCUCCCUUUCUGACCCGGAGGCAUCUCUCUGUGCAUGUGUAGUUGGGGUCUCCCUGACCCCGAGCAUGGGGAGUAUGUACGUGACUUCUUUGUUCUUCCUUCCAUCCAAGCAGGGCUCAGGACCUCUUUUGAUCCUGUCAUUACCCAUGUUUAUCAAGUUCACAGAAGACAAGUACCAGUUAGUUACUUGCCUUGUGCCUGUUGUUAUUUCUAUCCUCAAGUAUAGAUAGGUGGCUGGUUGUAAUUGUUUGUCCUGGAGCCCACCUAUCUCCUGCCUCAGGAUCACCUGUCUGCUCUGGUGCCCAAGGGGACAAAAUCUAUUAUUUAAAGAAGGGUGCUGAGAAAGUUUCCUGAGCAUACACAUGUGCAUGUGCAUACACACACACUCGUAAGCCACUAUGCAGGGGUCAGCAAUCAUUUUCUGUAAAGGGCCAAAUUAUAACCAGUUUAGGUUUUGCAGUCUCCAUAAGGUCCCAGUCUCAUAUUCUUCUUUGGUUUUUGUUUGUAUUUUUUAACAGUUGUUAAAACAACACAAAAAGUGUUCUUAGCUUGCUGGCUAUACAAAAACAAACCACAAGCCAGUUUGCCAACCACUGCACUAGAGUAUAGCACAAGCAGCAUGAAUAUGCAGGACUUUUCAUUAUGGAAUUCGUGCUAUGUUGGAUAUAUUUAUAAAGGUCUACAGGUUUAGACAUUCGGAAUAUUACACUAGUGAGGAAAUAUAGCGGAGGGGUGGGGAGGAAAUAAUCUCUAUCCAGGAGUCAACAAAGGAACAUCUUUUGAGCACAUACCAUUGAAAUUCCAGAAUUCUCGGCACUCUAAUAAAUUGUGCAUUGUAUUUUAAAGACCCCAAGUUACCUAUUAUUUUGUGUAUCAGUAUGUACUUAGAUGGAGAGAGGAAUAGCAUAGAUAUUCUAGAACUUUAAUGGAGGCAAUAGAAAGAACAAAAGAACAAAGGGAAACCUUUAUACAAAUGUCUAUCCUUCUUCCUUGUAAAGGAUUCUGAAUAUCAAAUAAUGGGAGUAGAGGCAAAUUUAAGUUUUCUGCCCUAAUGAAUUCAAUUCAAAAUCUAUUUUAAUAUUAGACGUCUUUAUGAAUAUUAAUCUUCAACAUAAGAAACUAGAGAAAAGAAUAUUCUGCAUUCCCUACUCCACCCACUUCCUCUAUCAUUGCUCCUAUGCCCUUUUAAUGUCAUUUUCUAGCAGUGAGAUAGAACACUGACAAGCUAUGGGUAUCACUCAAAAUUUAACAAAUAUAGCAAAAUAGGUCACUACUUACAAGACUCCACAAUACUGAGUGCCAUUUAUGAAAAUUUACUGUUUAACAUUAGACCAGUGGUUUUGAAAUCAGAGAGUCUAGGAGCUUACAUGGGAAAAAAAAAUUUUGUGUUUCUUUUCACUAAUCACUAACUGAAAUUUAGCAUUUCAAAUAGUCAAAAAACCAUAGUGGUAUUAGCAGCACAUGUCCCUUUGUCACGGCAUCACAGGUAGUUUCAUAUUACAACUUCUACACAAUAUAUUUUCAUAUUACUUCUUACAUAGUAUGUUAAAGAUGUUGCAUAUCUAAAAAUAUCAUUUCUACUCACCACUACUUAGAGACUACAAUAAUUAUUAACUUGCCACUAGAUCUAAUUACAGAGCACACUGUGGUAUGUAGAAUGAGUGGCCAACAGGCACCUGCUGUAUAGCACAGGAAACUCUACCCAACAUUCUGUAAUAAUCUAUAUGGGGAAAGACUGAAAAACAAUGGAUGUGCAUAUGACUAACUUGCUUUGUUGUACAGCAGCAAUUAUCACAAUAUAAAUCAACUAUACUUUGAUAAAACUUUAAAAAUGAAAAAAGAGGAGUUCCCUUCGUGGCUCAGCAGAAAUGAAUCUGACUAGUUAUAAGUUAAUGAGGGUUAGGUUUAGGGUUAGGGUAUCCAUGAGGACGCAGGUAUGAUCCCUGGCCUCACUCAGUGGGUUAAGGAUCCGGCAUUGCCAUGAGCUGGGGUGUAGGUUACAGACACAGCUCGGAUCUCACAUUGCUGUGCUCCGAUUUGACCCCUAGCCUGGGAACCUCCAUGUGCUGUGGGUGUGGCCCUAAAAAG